AUUGAACGCUGGCGGCAUGCCUUACACAUGCAAGUCGAACGGCAGCAUGGGUGCUUGCACCUGAUGGCGAGUGGCGAACGGGUGAGUAAUGCAUCGGAACGUACCCGGAAGUGGGGGAUAACGUAGCGAAAGUUACGCUAAUACCGCAUAUUCUGUGAGAAGGAAAGAGGGGGAUCGCAAGACCUCUCGAUUUCGGAGCGGCCGAUGUCGGAGUAGCUAGUUGGCGGGGUAAAGGCCCACCAAGGCAACGAUCCGUAGCGGGUCUGAGAGGAUGAUCCGCCACACGGGGACUGAGACACGGCCCAGACUCCUACGGGAGGCAGCAGUGGGGAAUUUUGGACAAUGGGGGCAACCCUGAUCCAGCCAUGCCGCGUGAGUGAAGAAGGCCUUCGGGUUGUAAAGCUCUUUCGGCUGGGAAGAAAUCGCAUCUCCCAAUACGGGGUGUGGAUGACGGUACCAGCAUAAGAAGCACCGGCUAACUACGUGCCAGCAGCCGCCGUAA
RNAcentral lists this ribosomal RNA (502 nucleotides) under uncultured bacterium. Its description in RNAcentral is "partial 16S ribosomal RNA". It matches the Rfam family "Bacterial small subunit ribosomal RNA", at positions 29 to 523 of the family's 1533-position model. The record is from RNAcentral.